RNAcentral lists this ribosomal RNA (314 nucleotides) under uncultured bacterium. RNAcentral describes it as "bacterial SSU rRNA". It matches the Rfam family "Bacterial small subunit ribosomal RNA", at positions 28 to 349 of the family's 1533-position model. The record is from RNAcentral.
GACGAACGCUGGCGGCGUGGUUAAGACAUGCAAGUCGAACGGGACCCGCAAGGGUUCAGUGGCGGACGGGUGAGUAAUGUAUCGCUAAUGUGCCCCGGAAUCCGGGAUAGCUAGCCGAAAGGCUAGGUAAUACCGGAUGAUAUACCUUGAAGGCAUCUUCGAGGUCUCAAAGGAGUAAUCCGGUCUGGGAGCAGGCGAUAUCGUAUCAGCUAGUUGGUGAGGUAACGGCNCACCAAGGCGACGACGCGUAGCCGGGCUGAGAGGUUGGCCGGCCACAUUGGGACUGAGACACUGCCCAGACUCCUACGGGGGGC